RNAcentral lists this long non-coding RNA (362 nucleotides) under Bos taurus (domestic cattle). RNAcentral describes it as "long non-coding RNA NONBTAT022469". The record is from RNAcentral. Lineage: Eukaryota; Metazoa; Chordata; Mammalia; Artiodactyla; Bovidae.
AAUAUUGAGUGAAAUACAAUGGACUUUCUUCAGGAAAUCUAAGAUUUCCAUAUGUUUUAGAUAUUAGAAUUAUUAAACACAUCCCUAAAACUGAAUUAAAUAUAGUAAACUUUUGAGGGAUAAGAUUUGAGAAUGUAGCAAAAUUGUCAAGAUGAAUUCAUUGCAUUUGAAGAUUAACCUGAAUUUAAUACCCCAAGUUGAUAUUUCAAAGGUAUAUUUUAAGAAAGUUUAUAUUUGUGCAUAUUGGAAAUCUAUCACUGAUUACUACAACUGAUUAAUGUAGAAAGGAAGUUGAAAUAUACAACGUUCAUUCACUAGAUUUUUAUCAAAGGUUUCAUAUGGUAAAAAGGGAAAUAGUCACC